GACGAACGCUGGCGGCGUGCUUAACACAUGCAAGUCGAACGGAAAGGCCCCUUUUGGGGUACUCGAGUGGCGAACGGGUGAGUAACACGUGAGUAACCUACCCUUGACUUCGGGAUAACUUCAUGAAACUGGGGCUAAUACCGGAUAGGAAUCCUUUCUGCAUGGUGGGGGUUGGAAAGCUUCGGCGGUUUUGGAUGGAGUCGCGGCUUAUCAGCUUGUUGGUGGGGUAGUUGCUUACCAAGGCUUUGACGGGUAGCCGGCCUGGGAGGGCGACCGGCCACAUUGGGACUGAGAUACGGCCCAGACUCCUACGGGAGGCAGCAGUGGGGAAUAUUGCACAAUGGGCGGAAGCCUGAUGCAGCAACGCCGCGGGGGGGAUGACGGCCUUCGGGUUGUAAACCGCUUUCAGCAGGGGAGAAGCUUGUGGUGACGGUACCUGCAGAAGAAGCACCGGCUAACUACGUG
RNAcentral lists this ribosomal RNA (465 nucleotides) under uncultured bacterium. RNAcentral's name for it is "partial 16S ribosomal RNA". It matches the Rfam family "Bacterial small subunit ribosomal RNA", at positions 28 to 507 of the family's 1533-position model. The record is from RNAcentral.